This 253-nucleotide ribosomal RNA is filed under the name uncultured Longilinea sp. RNAcentral describes it as "partial 16S ribosomal RNA". It matches the Rfam family "Bacterial small subunit ribosomal RNA", at positions 524 to 776 of the family's 1533-position model. The record is from RNAcentral. Lineage: Bacteria; Bacillati; Chloroflexota; Anaerolineae; Anaerolineales; Anaerolineaceae.
GACGUAGGAGACGAGCGUUAUCCGGAUUUACUGGGCGUAAAGCGCGUGCAGGCGGCAUGGCAAGUUGGAUGUGAAAGCUCCCGGCUUAACUGGGAGAGGUCGUUCAAUACUGCCAGGCUUGAGAGUGGUAGAGGGAAGCGGAAUUCCGGGUGUAGUGGUGAAAUGCGUAGAUAUCCGGAGGAACACCAGUGGCGAAAGCGGCUUCCUGGCCCAUUUCUGACGCUCAGACGCGAAAGCUAGGGUAGCAAACGGG